GUGGUUGCCUUUUAAAACAAGGGACAGCACAUCUGCUAAAAUUGGAACGAUACAGAGGAGAUUAGCGUGGUCCCUAUGUGAGAGUGACACACAAAAUCAUGAGACAUUCCAUUUUUUU
This is a small nuclear RNA of Panthera pardus (leopard), 118 nucleotides long. NCBI's taxonomy places the organism in Eukaryota, Metazoa, Chordata, Mammalia, Carnivora, Felidae. The record is from Ensembl.